Long non-coding RNA from Haplochromis burtoni (Burton's mouthbrooder), 308 nucleotides. RefSeq lists it as uncharacterized. NCBI's taxonomy places the organism in Eukaryota, Metazoa, Chordata, Actinopteri, Cichliformes, Cichlidae. The record is from RefSeq and is a predicted model, not a curated record. The transcript has 2 exons.
AUCGGUAUCCAGCAGCAGCACAUGAGGAGGCAUCAGUGGACUCAUGGAAGACGCUGUAUAACAGCAGACACAAGCGUGGCAUCAAGUGUCGCUUUUGCUGUGGCUGCUGCACCCCCGGUAUCUGUGGAGUUUGCUGCAGGUUCUGAGGAUUCCUGCUCCAACAACCACUCAGUAUUAACAAACUGUAUGUCACAGUUAAUGUGUGAGAUUAUACUGUUUUAGUAACAUUGUGUCCUCAGUUACUGCAUCAACUACAUGCUUGUAUUACACAGUUUAUCACAAUAAACUUUAUGGUCAUGUAGAUAUAA